Carassius gibelio (silver crucian carp) is the source of this 601-nucleotide long non-coding RNA. RefSeq lists it as uncharacterized. The record is from RefSeq and is a predicted model, not a curated record. The transcript is spliced from 3 exons. Lineage: Eukaryota; Metazoa; Chordata; Actinopteri; Cypriniformes; Cyprinidae.
CACUAUCUAAAUCCACACAGCAAGUGAGACAGAACAGGGGUUAUGCUAAAGGUGAGCUGGUUUUUUCCAGGUUGAAGCUCCUCCUCUUGCCUACACUAUGUAUAUCAUCUCUAUGCUAAAGGAUGAGUCUCUAGCUUCCAGUGCCAAACUCAAAGCCACUCACUCCAUUCAGAACAAGUUAAAUGCAAAAUUAUGCAGGAUCACAAAAAAGAUUCGGAUUACUGAAUGGACUGGCUAGUGUAAAGUGCCCAGCAUGUUUCAAGAGGUGACACAGUGGUUCAGCCCCUGGGUGUCACAGGUUGUCCGUUUGUAUGAAGGCCACAGGGAGCUGGAGUGGACCGGGGGACCUUUGCCUAUUGCAGAUGGUUUAGGGAAAGAAGUGAUCACUCAUUUGGAUACAGACAUUGAGUCCUCUGACUAUUUCUACACUGAUUCCAAUGGCAGAGAGAUUCUAGAAUGGCGGUGAGGAGAUAAAAGGAAAUAGAACAAUUGAUUACAGAAGUUUUUAUGUCCAUUUUAAUAUAUAUAAAAAGAUAUGGGAUUUGAAGCAGAUCGAGCCAAUCGCUGGAAACUACUAUCCAAUCAAUUUUUCGCGCUUACA